Molecule: small nucleolar RNA, 139 nt
Organism: Myotis lucifugus (little brown bat)
Lineage: Eukaryota; Metazoa; Chordata; Mammalia; Chiroptera; Vespertilionidae
Gene: SNORD10
Product: small nucleolar RNA SNORD10
Source: Ensembl
GCUCUAUGAUGAACCCCAUGCGUGUCAUCUGAGCCUGGCUUCCCUGUCUCAGCCCAGGUAGUGUUCUACUUCCCAGGGCUAUUGUCUGGCCUGGCAAGGGGGGUCCCUGGCAAAGGAUCAAAAUUUGAAUUCUGAGAGC